GACGAACGCUGGCGGCGUGCUUAACACAUGCAAGUCGAACGGAAAGGCCCUGCUUUUGUGGGGUGCUCGAGUGGCGAACGGGUGAGUAACACGUGAGUAACCUGCCCUUGACUUUGGGAUAACUUCAGGAAACUGGGGCAAUACCCGGUAGGAGGCUCUGGCGGAUGGGUGGGGUUUGGAAGGUUUCGGCGGUGGGGGAUGGACUCGCGGCUUUUCAGCUUGUUGGUGGGGUAGUGGCUUACCAAGGCUUUGACGGGUAGCCGGCCUGAGAGGGUGACCGGCCACAUUGGGACUGAGAUACGGCCCAGACUCCUACGGGAGGCAGCAGUGGGGAAUAUUGCACAAUGGGCGGAAGCCUGAUGCAGCAACGCCGCGUGCGGGAUGACGGCCUUCGGGUUGUAAACCGCUUUCGCCUGUGACGAAGCGUGAGUGACGGUAAUGGGUAAAGAAGCACCGGCUAACUACGUG
RNAcentral lists this ribosomal RNA (468 nucleotides) under uncultured bacterium. Its description in RNAcentral is "partial 16S ribosomal RNA". It matches the Rfam family "Bacterial small subunit ribosomal RNA", at positions 28 to 507 of the family's 1533-position model. The record is from RNAcentral.